This 26-nucleotide transfer RNA is filed under the name Sisyrinchium micranthum. Its description in RNAcentral is "partial tRNA-Gln". RNAcentral also lists the same sequence under 99 other names. Lineage: Eukaryota; Viridiplantae; Streptophyta; Magnoliopsida; Asparagales; Iridaceae. The record is from RNAcentral.
UCUGGGACGGAAGGACUCGAACCUCC